GUGUCAGCAGCCGCGGUAAGACGAACCGUGCGAACGUUGUUCGGAAUCACUGGGCUUAAAGGGCGCGUAGGCGGGCAUUCAAGUCAGGGGUGAAAUCCUCCAGCUUAACUGGAGAACUGCCUUUGAUACUGGGUGCCUCGAGUGAGGUAGGGGCGUGCGGAACUGAUGGUGGAGCGGUGAAAUGUGUUGAUAUCAUCAGGAACUCCGGUGGCGAAAGCGGCGCGCUGGACCUUAACUGACGCUGAGGCGCGAAAGCCAGGGGAGCAAACGGGAUUAGAUACCCCGGUAGUCC
RNAcentral lists this ribosomal RNA (292 nucleotides) under uncultured bacterium. RNAcentral's name for it is "partial 16S ribosomal RNA". It matches the Rfam family "Bacterial small subunit ribosomal RNA", at positions 505 to 796 of the family's 1533-position model. The record is from RNAcentral.